This 296-nucleotide long non-coding RNA is filed under the name Homo sapiens (human). Its description in RNAcentral is "HSALNT0193096". The record is from RNAcentral. Lineage: Eukaryota; Metazoa; Chordata; Mammalia; Primates; Hominidae.
AGGUCUACUAUGGAGGCCUUAACUCCUGUGUGGAAAAGGCUGAGGUAGCACAUUUCACCAUAGGAGGAAGAAGAGACACCAGUGAAGGAUACACAGCAGUAAGAGAUAUGGAAAAGAACAAGGAGAGGAUUUCUGUCUCACAUGGUCAUCUGGAUCAUUUGAAAACUUCAAGCAGAAAGUCCCAAGGUCACCAUUAAAUGUUUUCCAAGAUUACACAUCUUCAAACAGAAACCCAAAAUAAUGAAAACCAGGAACCAAGACUUCCAGCUUCUCUAAUGAGAGUAAGUCUUAGUUCU